Molecule: transfer RNA, 76 nt
Filed under: Thermus sp.
Lineage: Bacteria; Thermotogati; Deinococcota; Deinococci; Thermales; Thermaceae
Also listed under: 7 other names
Description: tRNA-Trp
Rfam family: tRNA
About the family: Transfer RNA (tRNA) molecules are approximately 80 nucleotides in length. Their secondary structure includes four short double-helical elements and three loops (D, anti-codon, and T loops). Further hydrogen bonds mediate the characteristic L-shaped molecular structure. tRNAs have two regions of fundamental functional importance: the anti-codon, which is responsible for specific mRNA codon recognition, and the 3' end, to which the tRNAs corresponding amino acid is attached (by aminoacyl-tRNA synthetases). tRNAs cope with the degeneracy of the genetic code in two manners: having more than one tRNA (with a specific anti-codon) for a particular amino acid; and 'wobble' base-pairing, i.e. permitting non-standard base-pairing at the 3rd anti-codon position.
Source: RNAcentral
GGGCCGUUAGCUCAAUUGGCAGAGCACCGGUCUCCAAAACCGGGGGUUGGAGGUUCGAGUCCUUCACGGCCCGCCA